Molecule: ribosomal RNA, 423 nt
Filed under: uncultured bacterium
Lineage: Bacteria
Description: bacterial SSU rRNA
Rfam family: Bacterial small subunit ribosomal RNA
Source: RNAcentral
GGGGAAUUUUCCGCAAUGGGCGAAAGCCUGACGGAGUGACGCCGCGUGGGGGACGAAGGCCUUCGGGUUGUAAAGCCCUGUCGGGAGGGACGAAACAUCGGCGAUCUAAUACAUCGCCGACUUGACGGUACCUCCUAAGGAAGCACCGGCUAACUCCGUGCCAGCAGCCGCGGUAAUACGGAGGGUGCAAGCGUUGUUCGGAAUUAUUGGGCGUAAAGGGCGUGUAGGCGGCUUCGUAUGUCUGGGGUGAAAUCAUGCAGCUCAACUGCAUCGAGCCUCGGAAACUGCGGAGCUUGAGGCUGGGAGGGGCUGGUGGAAUUCCCUGUGUAGCGGUGAAAUGCGUAGAGAUGGGGGAGAACACUCGUGGCGAAGGCGGCCAGCUGGACCAGUUCUGACGCUGAGACGCGAAAGCGUGGGGAGCAA